GUAGGUGAACCUGCGGAAGGAUCAUUACUGAGUUAGGGUCCUCUGGGCCUGACCUCCAACCCUUUGUCUACAUUACCUCUUGUUGCUUCGGUGGGCCCGUCCCCUCUAGAAAUAGAGGACGACCGCCGGAGGGUUCACGCCCUCUGGCCCGCGCCCACCGACGGCCCCAACCCAAAAACUCUUGUUUAACCAUGACAUGCCUGACUAAUAAAAAUCAAUAAGUAAAAACUUUCAACAACGGAUCUCUUGG
This 250-nucleotide unclassified non-coding RNA is filed under the name plant metagenome. Its description in RNAcentral is "partial contains small subunit ribosomal RNA, internal transcribed spacer 1, and 5.8S ribosomal RNA". The record is from RNAcentral.